CACUGAAUCAACAGACAGUGGAUGUGACUGGAAACGUGGGACAGUCUGUCCUUCUGCCCUGCUCCUGCUCUGAACUACAAGCCAAACCACACACUUUCAGAUGGAGCUUUUAUAAUGAAUCUGAUAUGAAAAUCAUCUCAGCAGACCAGACAAAUCGCUACACAGGCAGAGUUCAGCUCUUUAAUGAUCAUCCUCCAGGAAAUCUCUCUCUACUCAUAUCACACCUGACUGUAGAGGAUGGAGGAUGGUACAGGUGUGAGAUCAGUGAAAUGAAAACAUACAUCUACCUCACAGUGAAAGAACCCCUUCUCUACAUCCCUGUCGCCAUGGUGACUGUGAUCUUUCUGCACAUUAUCGUGGCUUUGGUUUAUUGCACCACCAUAAAGAAAGGUCCUGGUACAGUUCAUUACAGCAGAGGUGAUGGAGAUGGAACAGUGAGUCUGCAGUAGAGAAUAUCUCAGUUCGCUGAUCUAUCAAAAAAUGAAUCAAUAGAUUUCUUCAGAAAUAGUCUAUGGCGUCAAAUUAGUGGCAUAAGUAUCAUAUUCAUAACAAAUUAUAUAUAUUAUACACAUAAAAAAAAUAAAACACGUGAAUCACAGAAAUAACAUGCGUGACACUGCAGGUUAGUGUUUGAACCUGUCUUGAGCAAGUGAGAAGUUUAAUUAAUACGCUUAAAGCUUCUUAUAUGUGUGUCUAUUGUAGUAUCAUGUCAACCCUCCUGUUAUUAUGCUAAAGAGUAUUUUAAUGAACUGAACAAGUGUAUCACUGUACAAUCAUUAGCAUCAUAGCAUAGCGUUAUUGCUGCUCAAACAGUAGAGUAGUGCGGUAUGUGUUCAGUAUCGUGAUGAAAUGUAUACCUUUAAAGUAAUGUGUUUAGUCUUAUCUCUGUAUUAACCCAGACUCUUAAUCAGAGUCCUGUAUCACCACAUCCCCAGUCUCAGGUCAGUUCUUUCUUUUUUUUGAAAAAAAAGAAAGAAAGAAAAUAAAGUUUUAUUAAAGCAUUGAUUGUUACUGUUUUAUAUUAAGGCCAGAGAGAGAGAGAGAGAGAGAGAGAGAGAGAGCUCUUUAUUCAUAUGAUAACAAUGGCUUCUUGUCAGAGUCAAAAAACUGUCAACAUAAAAUAACUCUUUAAAUUAGAAUUUAUUUCCAGACUCUUUAUUUCUGUCUGUAUGCUAGAUAUAGAUCAACAUCAUUCUGGAGUUGCAUGCCACCAUAAAAGCUGCAGAAGGAUUUAGGAUUAUUAGAUGUAAGCAUUGUAGAAAGAUGCUAUAAAUGUAAUGAAAACACAUUUAUUCCACAAUUUGCUGCACAUAGUUUAAAACUAAUAAAUACAGAUCUCGUCCAAAGUCUCGGGACGGGGAGUUUGGUUCAAUGGCUGUCCUAAACUGUGCCUGUGGCCACAGCAUCCAAUCAGUGUCUGUAAGCACAACCCCAACACUCAACAAUUGAGAACCAUUUUAGACAGAUUACAACUGGUUCCUUGGACAAUUAAGGCAUCUAACUAACGUGUACAUUGAUAUCGAUUACAUGUAGUAGUGCAUAAUCGCCCAUCUUCUCACUUGCUCAAGACAGGUUCAAACACUAACCGGCAGAUCAGUGAUGUCACUUUACUGAUUGGCUAGAGAAGGGCAGUAGGUUGAGAAGCAGUGGACCAAUGGAGACUUUCAUCCUGCCCCCUAAUCUGCAUAAAACUCUACUUGUGAUUUUUGGAAUAACAAACUAGCAUCCUUGUGAUUUGCGUGUUUUAUUCUCUUUUUUUUUUACGUGUAUUAUUUCUGUGAUGCAUGUUUUUUUUGUUUUUUUUUUGUUUUUUUUACGUGUAUGUUUUUUAACAAGUACAAUACUUCUGGCACUAAUUUGAUGCCAUCAUAGUCUUGAAUAAAUAGUUCUGUAAAUAUUGUAGCUUCAUUACAUAUUCAUGGUUUGUUCUCUCCAAACCUUUUAGACUUCCCUUUGAUGCUUAAUAGUAUUUCAGCUAAAUCACAGAAUGUGUGUGGUUAGAUUUUAACGUUGCUACGCCACUAUAUUAGGGCUAAGAUAAAUAUGUGAUACUUUAUUUUACAAAUGUGAAAGAAUGUAAAAUCAAUAGAAUUCAAUAGAUUUCAAGCCAUAAUUGAUUUUCUGUCUUUUGUUAUCUGGUAAAUUUGGUUUUUCAUUUGGAAUACUUUUCAAUUAUUCCUUCAUUUAUUUUCUUGUGAUUUGUGGUUUAAUUUGAAGUGAUGCAUCACACUUAUGUUUGGGGCAGAAACUUCCUACACUGAUGAAAGGGGACUUUCAUUUUGAACUUAAGUCACCCUGAAACAGGAAGGCCUACUGAAAUAAAAAGGUGGAGCCAACAGGAAGACAUGUGAGGAAUUAUUUGUGUUUGGAGGAUGAUUGGUUCUGAACUUUCCUUUUGGAGUUGCUUUUGAAUCAAUUGCCCAUCCAGUUCCAGGAGACAAUUAUGGAUCUGUGUUUAAGGUUAGACUUUCAUAAUGUUUGGUGGUAGGUAAUUUUUCUUCUUUUUUUUUUUAUUAACUGUUUUUCAUUUUUCAGUUUUUCAUUUUUUUCAUAUAUUUUGUAUUUUAUAUGCUCAUAUUUGCCUUAGUGUUUGUCAGUGUGGUGGUUUCAAAAAUAAAUAAAUAAAUAAAUGUGGGAAAUUAAGGAAAAAAAAUGUCAAUAAAUGAUAUCAGAGGAACAUUGAACUUGAAACAAGUGAAUGUAUUUUUUUUUUUUUUUUUUUUUAAAUGCACAGUAUGGUGUAUUAUCUGUGACUAUUAGUGUUCCCUGCUCAGCCUUGAAUGAUGCACUGAUUGUUUGACUGUUUUUCCCUUGGGAGGUGGUCACCUGUUUGGGGAGGGGUCGCGCUGCUCAGAAAAUACAGAGACUCUGAUGGUGAAGCAGCAGCUCUGUGUCUUGCGUUUUCUUAAUUAUUUACAUCUCCCCUCAUCAGGCAGUGAGGGUGCUACAUUUUUGGAGGCACCGCUGGGAUGAAUGCAGUGCGAGCUGGCUUCCAGUGAUGACAGCCCGCUUCCAGCCAGUGCCAUUCAGCGUACUACUCAGCCCAGGUGACCAGUGGAGUGAAGAUGUCUGAUGUCCAUAUCGAUCCCGGAACGAAAGUGCAAGCAGUCUGAGGUUGAUCUUCGAUACCAGAAGCACUGAAGGUUUCCAGCCAGCUAAGGACAUUACUUCUAUCACUUUGCACACAUCAAGAGACUGAGUAACUAAUGGAUCACAUAGAGGAUUUGAAGCUUGAGGUGAUAGGAGCUGUAUAUGCUAUCUGACAAGAAAAUUUGACUGAACUAUGUGCAUUCCUAGGGAUCGAGUGUGAAGAUGCCAGUAGCAAAAGCCAGUCAUUUCUUGUUUCUGUAAUUGUGAGACAUGUAGAGCGAGAGGCAUUAGGGGAAUUGGAAGAUGUCUAAAUGACAAAAUCUGUGAAAUUCAGAAGGUUAAUGAAAACAGUGAUUCAGAACAACAUGUAGCACAGACAACUAAGAGAGUGAAUGUAAAUCCAGUAGCAGAAACUACAGAGCAGGAUAAACUGCAAAAAGAAAUUUACGCUUAACAGUUAGCUUUGCAGAGUUUAAUAGAGCAAAAACAGAGCAGUUAACCACACACCACAAUGCACAGGUACACAACAGAACCUAAGCACUAUACAAAGUCAAAAUGUACAGUCAGACACAAGCUCCCAGUUGCAGUUAGUGACACACAGGCCAGUUAUGUCCCCCUGGAACAGAGAAUUUAAAAUAUCAGGACCGAUAGGUGAACCUGGACAAAAAGAUGAGCUCACCUUUUCAGGUUUGGCCCAUCAGAUCGAACAUGGAUUGACCAGGGGAGUUUCAGAGCUCGAAAUAGUGGACGCAGUGAUAAGAGCAAUUGUAUCAGUCAUGCAACUGUGUAGUUACCUGGAGGGAAAACCAAAUUUAACCCUGCCUGUGCUGAGACGUAUAUUAAGAGCACACUACCAAGAAAGAUGUGUGACCGAACUGUACAAACAGCUUACCUCUGAGGCACAAAGUAGUAAAGAGACCCCACAAAGUUUCCUUGUUAGGUGUCUUGACUUGCGGCAAAAGAUCCUGUUUGCAUCUCAGGAAGCAGAAUCCAGCUUGAAGUAAGACCAAGUUUUAGUCCAGAGCAUGUUUCUCAACACUGUCCUCAUUGGCCUGCAAAACGACAAUAUCAGAAGCAAUCUGCAACCUUACUUGACUAAAACUGAUGCGAGUGAUGAACUUCUCUUUGAUAAAGUUAAUAUCGCGUGUGCCAACGAAACAGAGCAUCAAAGCAAGAAGAAGCUUCUAGCUCAACAACAACAUCCCAAGAUGCAUUCAGUACAGGCCAGUGAAGUCCUCUGCUGAAGAGAAAAAAAAGACAUCAUGCCAUAAAAGCACAGAGAAACAUGAGCCUGGCAUCUUGAGUGAAUUAAAGGAAAUGCGAACAGAAAUGGCAUUGCUGAAGGAUCUCAGUGUAGAGGUUUCUCAGAUUAAAGAGUCCAUUAGACAACCGCAGGCCAUAUCUACACAGUGCUCUACUCGUGUGAGAGAUCAGACCGUCACGUCACCGCCUCAAUCUGCAUACCCAUCUCAAGGUUAUGUGCAGCCGUAUGGCAGAAGGGGGGGAGCCUUCCAAUGACAACAGUGGUUCCCGGCACAGCGCUACCACCCACCAUCAACACGUGAGAAAAUAUUUGGCAUGUCAACAAAGUGAGUUGGAUGUGUACUGUACUCACUGUUAUAGGUGUGGCAGUAGCGAUCAUUUUCUGGUUUGCUGUAGAGCAUGAGGACCAGCGAUGUAUAAAAAGCAGUCAUUAAACGAGACAGGGUCAUGACUGCAGGACGAGGAUUGACCAGUUAUGCAAUGAUGACCCCACCCAGCUGUGCGGAAUGUGGUAUCACAGGUUCUGGCCUUGGACUACGACAAUGCGCCGCCUCUAAACAAACAUUAUAUUGUUCAAAAGCAUGUCAGGCAAAUCAUUGGACAUUUCAUAAGAAACAAUGUAACCAGACAGCAAGAGUAAACGCACAUUCAGUAAAGCAAAGAAAGAAAUGGGAAGCCAAUAAUUCUACACGUGCCGCCUUUAUAGGAAAACAGUGUCUAGUGCCGUGUUACAUUCAGGGGCUCCUUGUCGAUGCAUUAUGGGAUACAUGAUCUAAGGUUUGUAUAGUGGAUGAAAUGUGGAAGAGGGAACACUUACCGAAUAUCAGACUGAGGAAUGUGGCCGAUGUAAUUGAUGUGCCUGAAAAACUCAGCAAAUGGACAAGACAUACUUUAUAUAGGAUGUAUGGAAGUGACUUUUGGCUUAGCAUCGAAUGAAGUGGAAACACUUAGACUGGUCGUGCUGGUGAUGAGGGGUAGUCAGCUUCAUCAUCCAAUCAUCGGAUAUAAUGUGAUCAAGCAAAUGGUGAGUGACAAGGGAAUAACACAGCUAGUCACAAGUGGAUUCCAGGGAACUACUUGUGGUGCAACAACAGAAACAGUGCAAGCUUUCAUCAAACAAAUUAGUUCUGAGACACCAUAUGAAUAUACAGUUAAAACAACAAAGGAGAGUGUCCAUGUGCCCAAACAUACAUCAGUACAAGUGGAAUGUAGAGUGCAGCCAUAUAGACCAAAGGAAGAGACUUUACUUAUUUUUGAGCCUGACAUCAACUCUCAGUGGACAGAAGGAUUUGGAGUUCUGUGAGACUAUUGUUACUCUGUGACCAUAUACUUCUCCACAUAUAAUUGUAAGUGUACAGAAUCCAACGGACCAUGACUUGAUGUUAACAGACAAGGCCGUCACUGGCACAGUUCAAAAAGCACAGGCUGUAUAUUCAGCUGCAGUUCUGUAAGGACCUGGUUUAACUCCUGUUGGAAUUAAUAAGGAAGAAACCAAUAUCCGCCAUACCUCUGACACUACUUGGAUUCUGCCAGUUGAUUUAAGCCAUCUCGGUGAGCCUGAAAAACAAACCAUGCAACAAAUGUUAAAGAAAGAAGCAGCUUCAUUUUCAAAAUCCAAGAAUGACAUUGGUUGCAUUGACAAUGCAUGAAAUUGAUUUUCGUCAGUUAACGACACUGUAAAUUGCCACAGAAUUUCAGGUUAACAAGUGUUCACAGGAAUGUGCAGAUAAUUGUUGGGAACUGCCAAAAAUUGACGUAGAAUAGGCUUGGCAGUUGACCCCCCCCAUGUUCCUAUCACCUUGGCCUGGGUUUAGCUUUCAUAUGUAAAUGACUACAGUGAGCUAUACAAAUGCAAACCAGGGUAGUGUGGGGAGGGGGGACUCACUGAUUGAGAGUGGGCUUAUUACCCAAAUGUAAAGAAAAUCUAGUGUAAAAAGCUGUCUUAUUUUAAUUAUAGAUUUUUAAAUUGUUGCUUGAAUUUUAAAUUGAGAUUUGUCUUACACAGUGUCCUAAACAACACGCGACGUGAUGCAGCGACACACAAGUAAAAUGUAUCUUUUCCAUGUUAAUCACUUUUUGUCCUGACCAGACUAACCAGUUUUAGAAACUGUUUUUCUUUCUGCGAUGUCGCGGCUGACAGCUCCGCCUAUACAGAGAUCUCAAUAAAAGUUCUGUGCAUUAAUAAUAUUAAUCAUCAAAAAUGGAUAAGGAGAGACUGAUUAUAGACGUUUAAUAGCAGAAAUAUAUAAUAAAUCCCUCAAGUUUUAUAAUGAAAGCCAUAAGAAGCAGAGGGGUGUAUCUCUCUAUGCAUGUGCACUCUUGAAUGCAAGUAUGUGUGAUGUGCAAGUAUGUGUGUAUGAAGUAAUGUGUGGACUGUAAUCUCUUCAGCUGCAGUAUGAGAAAGCACACAAACAGAGAAAACUGUUAUGAUUGGCUGUGUUUUACGAUUGAUCGUGUUCAGUAUGGACAAAAUUUCCUAUUGCUGGAAUCAUAUCACAUCGCGUCUAGUUAGACUAAUUACCUUGUGUACUAAAAGACACAAAACCAUUAAUAAUAAUAAACAAAUAAGGAAAAUACACAUGAAUUGGUUACAAUUCCAAAUCUUUUUUGUACAAGUUCCACUGUACAGUUUAAUGCUCUUCGAGUCACUUCGCAUGUGACGAGCCUUGGCCAAUCAGGUGCUAGGUCACGGUGACACGGUAUGUUCCUCCAAUCACAGACAAGGAAAUGAGACAAAGAGCGGAACCAAAACAUUCAAACAGAGAUGUUGCUCUUUCCUGGAAUUUGCUUACUGUUUUCAUUUUUACCCCCGGGUUUUAUAUUUACCCCUGCUCUUUAUAUUUACUUCGCGCUCUACAGUGACUAGCCAAGGAACUGAAGAGGGGGCUGCACAAUCCUAAAAUCGUGGAGGCAGUCCAUCCGCUACACAACUCUGAGGAAACUGUAGGCGCUAUGACCCGGAGCAUGGGAAAGAUAUGGGCUAACAUGCACUCUGUUGUUUCAGAAGUAAAUAAACACGUUGUUUUAACUCUGUACUCUUUGCCUCCACAGAUUAAGCUCGCCAUAUAAUGAGACGGUCACCUCAUUUUUGUGGCGCACUGUCCAUAAGCCCGGAAUUGCGCGAUGAAGGCCUGGAUAAAAAUGACUUUGUUGUUGCCUGUACGACAUACUACGAGACCGUGCACAGAAAUUUCCAGUCCAGCCAGCCAGAGCUAGCAAAUGUGGCUGCAGCUAAUAAGACCUCAGCCCGGAGUGGCCAGAGGAGGAAGAGGCGAGGCAAAGUGUACUGGCUGCGGACGAAGUGGACUUCUGGAGGGGAAACCCCGCUGACAUGAUGUCAGAUGAAGACAGUGCUGUUGAUGGAGUCUCAGAGUGGAUUGAGACCUCCAUUGUUCAGCAGCCAGGAGCUCAGCAAUCUGUGUGCUAAGCUGCAGACGAGACUAGAAGCCAGUUCAAAGUAUGCAGCACUGCAUCACCGGUGUCUGUGAACUGGGUUUCCAUCUAACAGAACGCCACCACAUACCUACGACCCAGAGGCAGCAAAAAGACAUUUGAUGCCAAACAUGAUGCCAUGAAAAUAAUCUCUGGCUACUUUUUGUGUAUUUAUAUUUCAUAUGUCUAUUUAAUAAAACUCUUACAUUUAAUCAG
Hemibagrus wyckioides is the source of this 8001-nucleotide long non-coding RNA. RefSeq lists it as uncharacterized. Lineage: Eukaryota; Metazoa; Chordata; Actinopteri; Siluriformes; Bagridae. The transcript is spliced from 6 exons. The record is from RefSeq and is a predicted model, not a curated record.